Molecule: ribosomal RNA, 1381 nt
Filed under: metagenome
Description: bacterial SSU rRNA
Rfam family: Bacterial small subunit ribosomal RNA
Source: RNAcentral
AGAGUUUGAUCCUGGCUCAGGAUGAACGCUGGCGGUAUGCUUAACACAUGCAAGUCGAACGGUGUCUUCGGACACAGUGGCGGACGGGUGAGUAACGCGUGAGAAUCUGCCUCUAGGUUGGGGACAACAGUUGGAAACGACUGCUAAUACCCAAUGUGCCAAGGUGAAAGAUUUAUUGCCUGGAGAGGAGCUCGCGUCUGAUUAGCUAGUUGGUGAGGUAAAGGCUUACCAAGGCAUCGAUCAGUAGCUGGUCUGAGAGGAUGAGCAGCCACACUGGGACUGAGACACGGCCCAGACUCCUACGGGAGGCAGCAGUGGGGAAUUUUCCGCAAUGGGCGAAAGCCUGACGGAGCAAUACCGCGUGAGGGAGGAAGGCCUUUGGGUUGUAAACCUCUUUUCUCAGGGAAGAAGAUCUGACGGUACCUGAGGAAUAAGCAUCGGCUAACUCCGUGCCAGCAGCCGCGGUAAUACGGAGGAUGCAAGCGUUAUCCGGAAUCAUUGGGCGUAAAGCGUCCGCAGGUGGUUUUUCAAGUCUGCUGUUAAAGACUGGAGCUCAACUCCGGAAAGGCAGUGGAAACUGAGAAACUAGAGUUCGGUAGGGGUAGCGGGAAUUCCCAGUGUAGCGGUGAAAUGCGUAGAUAUUGGGAAGAACAUCGGUGGCGAAGGCGCGCUACUGGACCGAAACUGACACUCAGGGACGAAAGCUAGGGUAGCGAAAGGGAUUAGAUACCCCUGUAGUCCUAGCUGUAAACGAUGGAAACUAGGUGUGGCUUGUAUCGACCCGAGCCGUGCCGUAGCUAACGCGUUAAGUUUCCCGCCUGGGGAGUACGCACGCAAGUGUGAAACUCAAAGGAAUUGACGGGGGCCCGCACAAGCGGUGGAGUAUGUGGUUUAAUUCGACGCAACGCGAAGAACCUUAUCAGGGCUUGACAUGUCGCGAAUCUUGGUGAAAGCUGAGAGUGCCUUCGGGAGCGCGGACACAGGUGGUGCAUGGCUGUCGUCAGCUCGUGUUGUGAGAUGUUGGGUUAAGUCCCGCAACGAGCGCAACCCUCGUCUUUAGUUGCCAGCAUUAAGUUGGGCACUUUAGAGAGACUGCCGGUGACAAACCGGAGGAAGGUGGGGAUGACGUCAAGUCAGCAUGCCCCUUACGCCCUGGGCUACACACGUACUACAAUGGUUGGGACAAAGGGCAGCAAACCCGCGAGGGUAAGCGAGUCUCAUCAAACCCAGCCUCAGUUCAGAUUGCAGGCUGCAACUCGCCUGCAUGAAGGAGGAAUCGCUAGUAAUCGCAGGUCAGCAUACUGCGGUGAAUUCGUUCCCGGGCCUUGUACACACCGCCCGUCACACCAUGGAAGCUGGUCACGCCCGAAGUAGUUACCCC